Molecule: ribosomal RNA, 1293 nt
Filed under: Triticum aestivum (bread wheat)
Lineage: Eukaryota; Viridiplantae; Streptophyta; Magnoliopsida; Poales; Poaceae
Description: partial small subunit ribosomal RNA
Source: RNAcentral
AUGCGUCGGGGGUUCGACGGGAAGGCUCCGGCCACCGGUGGCUGCGGAGCCGACCGCCUAGGCGCGCUGCCGGACGAGAUCCUCCAGCAUGCGUUGUCGUUCCUGCCGUCGCGCGAGGCCGUGCGCACCUGCCUGCUCGCCCGCCGCUGGCGCCACCAGUGGAAGUCCGUCCCGGCCCUGCGGGUCGCCGACGUCGAUGCCUUCAAAUUUGCCCAGCGCCUCAACGAGUUCGUCAACCACCUCAUCGUCCUCCGUGACCGGACGCCACUCCACGCGUGCGAGAUCGCCGCCUACAAGGAGUACAAGGGGCGGUACUAUGACGACGAGGAGCCCUCCCGGUACACCGACCUGUGGAUCCGGUACGCCAUGUCGUGCAACGUUCGGCUGCUUCGACUCAGCAACCAUGACCCCGCUGAUCUAGAUGCUCAAUAUGAGAAUAUAGAGGAUGUUCUGCUUCACGCUCACAUUGCCUCCCACCAUCUGACGACACUGGAGCUUGAGGGCGUGAUGUUCUCGUGCCAAUACCCUCUGGAUUUAUCGAGCUGCCCCAACCUGGACAUCAUCAAGAUGAACCGAUGCUCCUCACUAAUUCACGUCAAUAUAUGGUCACGAUCUGUGCGGUGUCUUUGUAUCACGCACUACGAUUUUUAUAGCUAUGAAGAGAAACCUCGUGCUGUCGUUUAUGUCCCAAGCCUCGUCUACUUAGAGAUGACCGGCGGCCGUGGCCUGGUUCCUGCGUUUGAGAGCAUGCCCUUGUUGCAAACAGCAUCUAUCAAGUUUGGCUGGACUUCCACUAGGGACGACAACAAUGAUGGUUUCUUGCUUCUUGGACGCCUGUCAGAUGCCACUAAUCUAGAACUCAUAUCCGAGCCUCAAGCGCUUUCUUUCAGGAAAGAUUUAAUGCGGUGCACUGCAUUUAGCAAGCUCAAAACCUUGUCACUCAAUGAUUGGUGUGUAGAGCCUGAUUUUGGUCCACUACUCCACUUUCUCCAGAGGUCACCAAGUCUCGAGAAGCUCUGCCUCCAACUAUCUAAGCCAGAUGAACAUGCUAAAGAAACAGAUGCAAGCUAUGUUUCAACUGAACCAUUUUUGGCAUCGAAGCAUCUUAGGGUUGUCAAGAUCAGAUGUCAUGAAAAUGAUGAACGAGUUCCCAAAAUUUUGAACGUCAUGAGUUCAUAUGGAGUACCUCCUGAGCAAAUCAACGUCAAGGAAGGCAAUUGGUCAUCCGAGGGAUCAUAUUCAGAUUCCGAGCAGUCAGACUAUUCUUAUUCAGAUACGGAUCAGUCGGAUUAA